This 72-nucleotide transfer RNA is filed under the name Prototheca wickerhamii. Its description in RNAcentral is "tRNA-Phe". It matches the Rfam family "tRNA". Rfam says of the family: Transfer RNA (tRNA) molecules are approximately 80 nucleotides in length. Their secondary structure includes four short double-helical elements and three loops (D, anti-codon, and T loops). Further hydrogen bonds mediate the characteristic L-shaped molecular structure. tRNAs have two regions of fundamental functional importance: the anti-codon, which is responsible for specific mRNA codon recognition, and the 3' end, to which the tRNAs corresponding amino acid is attached (by aminoacyl-tRNA synthetases). tRNAs cope with the degeneracy of the genetic code in two manners: having more than one tRNA (with a specific anti-codon) for a particular amino acid; and 'wobble' base-pairing, i.e. permitting non-standard base-pairing at the 3rd anti-codon position. The record is from RNAcentral. Lineage: Eukaryota; Viridiplantae; Chlorophyta; Trebouxiophyceae; Chlorellales; Chlorellaceae.
GUUUGGGUAGCUCAGGGGUAGAGCGGAGGAUUGAAAAUCCUUGUGUCGGUGGUUCAAAUCCACCUCUAGACA